Molecule: ribosomal RNA, 554 nt
Filed under: Botryosphaeria dothidea
Lineage: Eukaryota; Fungi; Ascomycota; Dothideomycetes; Botryosphaeriales; Botryosphaeriaceae
Description: eukaryotic LSU rRNA
Rfam family: 5.8S ribosomal RNA (bases 180-333)
Source: RNAcentral
CAGAACUGAUUCGGGCUCGGCCCGAUCCUCCCACCCUUUGUGUACCUACCUCUGUUGCUUUGGCGGGCCGCGGUCCUCCGCGGCCGCCCCCCUCCCCGGGGGGGUGGCCAGCGCCCGCCAGAGGACCAUCAAACUCCAGUCAGUAAACGAUGCAGUCUGAAAAACAUUUAAUAAACUAAAACUUUCAACAACGGAUCUCUUGGUUCUGGCAUCGAUGAAGAACGCAGCGAAAUGCGAUAAGUAAUGUGAAUUGCAGAAUUCAGUGAAUCAUCGAAUCUUUGAACGCACAUUGCGCCCUUUGGUAUUCCGAAGGGCAUGCCUGUUCGAGCGUCAUUACAACCCUCAAGCUCUGCUUGGUAUUGGGCACCGUCCUUUGCGGGCGCGCCUCAAAGACCUCGGCGGUGGCGUCUUGCCUCAAGCGUAGUAGAACAUACAUCUCGCUUCGGAGCGCAGGGCGUCGCCCGCCGGACGAACCUUCUGAACUUUUCUCAAGGUUGACCUCGGAUCAGGUAGGGAUACCCGCUGAACUUAAGCAUAUCAUAAGACCGGAGGAA